CAAAUGAAGAAUUAGCUAUCGCUUAUGUAUUGAUUGGCAAUGGCUUUUAUGAGGAAGCAAUACAACAUUUUUCAACGAUGCUUCAGGAACAGCCAGAGCUCAUCAGUGCAAUUUAUGGGCAAGGGAUAGCAUAUGGAAAGAAAAGGC
Long non-coding RNA from Protobothrops mucrosquamatus (brown spotted pit viper), 147 nucleotides. RefSeq lists it as uncharacterized. The transcript is spliced from 3 exons. The record is from RefSeq and is a predicted model, not a curated record. NCBI's taxonomy places the organism in Eukaryota, Metazoa, Chordata, Lepidosauria, Squamata, Viperidae.